CUUGAACCUGGGAGGCAGAGGGUGCCGUCAGCCAAGAUGGCGCCACUGUACUCCAGCCUGGGCAAGAGAGCUGGACUCCUUCUCAAAAAUAAAGAAGACUAUUAGGGUAUAGUGGCAGAGGGGAGAGAAUUCAGGAGACACUGUUGGUUGUCUAAUGCCUAAACUAUCUCUCUCAUUGCCUUUUUCCUUGAUAGUAAAGCCCUGAUUAUAUGCAUGUGUUCAUAGAAUUAAUCAAUCUUUAUACUGCUAAACCUUUGAGCUUCCAGUCCUGUGAGAUAAUACAAUCUCCAUAUUAUUUUCAGAAAGCUGUUAUUUGCAACCACACACAGCCUAACUGAUGAGAAGUGUUGGCAUGAGGUUUAGAAAUAGGCAGAGACCAUGAAAGUUUGGGAUGACUGAGGUGCAGAAUGCAGAAAGCACAGCAUUCUUAUGACCCAAAUUAGUUACUCUUCCACCCAGAACACCCGAAAUGGGAAAGCAAGGUUUUUGUAAUUAAAAAUACAGUUGUAAUUAAGAGAGAAAAUUGCUUCUGGGAGACAAAAUUGAACAGCUAUGGAUUAUACUCUGUAAAGUAAAGUUGUGAUGGACCAGCACUUGCUAAGAGUGACACCUGGCCUCUUUGGAGACUGUGUAGUGUGGUGGGAAGAAGCCUGGAUCAAGAGGCUUAAUUUUUUUUUAAUUACAGAUAGUAAAAUAGAUCACCUUUAUGGGGGUGUACAAUGGUAAGAGUUUUAACACAUAGACGUGACUACAGUCAAGAUGCAGAACAGUUAUAUCACCCCAGAAAAUCCCUCAUGCAUACCUUCAUAGUGAAACCCUCACCCUGUCCUGAUCCUUAGCAACCACUGAUCUGUUCUCUGUCCUUACAGUUUUGCUUUUCAUAUGUAUGGAAUCAUAGGGUGUGCAGCAACCUUUGUCUCUGGCUUUUUUCACUCAGCCUUUGAGAUUCAUGUUGCUGUGUGCAUCAGUAGUUUGUUCCUUUUUAUUGCUGAGUAGUUUUCCAUUGUAUAGGUGUACCACGUUUUUUAAUCCAUUGAAGAAUAUUUAGGUUGUUUCCAAUUUUGAGUGGUUAUGGAGAAAACUCCUAUAAACAUUCAUAUGCAGGGUUUUGUCUGAAGACAAGUUUCUAUUUCUGUAAAUACCUAGGAGUGAGAUAACUGGAUAAUAUAUUAAGUGUAUGCUUAACUUUGUAAGAAGCUACCACAAUUAUUUUCCAGAGUGAUGUGCUAUUUUGCCUUCCAACCAGCAAUGAGUAAGAGAGUUCAUUACUACAUCCUCAGCAGCACUUGCUAUCGUCAGCUUGUUUUUUCCUUUUUUUUUAAAGUUAUUCUAAUAGGCGUACGGUAGUGUCACAUUGUGGCCCUAAUUUGCAUUUCCCUAAUGACUAAUGAUGUUGAUCAUCUUUUCAUCUAAUUAUUUGCCAUCCACAUAUUUUCUUUGUGAAGUGUGUUCAAAUAUUUGCCCACUUUUUAAUUGAGUUGUUUUCCUUAUUGUUGAGUUUUGAGUUAUUUAAAUAUUCUGGGUACAAGUAGUUAUGUAAUUUGUAAAUGACUUCUCCUUUUCUGUAGUUUGUUUUUUCAUUCUCUUACCUGUCUUUUGCAGAGGAAAAUCUUUUUAGUGAAGUCCAGUUAAUUACCUUUUUUCUUUUAUUGUGUUUUUUUUGGUACAAAAAAUGUCUAAGAUCUCUUUACCUCACCUAAGGUCACAAAGUUUUUCACCGUAUGUAGUCUUUUAAAAAUUUUAUAGUUUUAUAUUUAAGAUCUGUGGUCUAUUUUGAGUUAAUUUUUGUAUAAGGUGUGAGAUAUAUAUCAGUGUAUUUUCUCCUUCCUCCUUCCCUCCAUUCCUUCUUUUCUUUCUUUUUUCUUUCCUUCCUUCCUUUUUUUUUUUUUUAAAGAAAGUUAAGUCUCUUUUUCCUCCUUUCUUGGGCAGAGGUGUGUUCAAUUGUUCCCACACCAUUUGUUGAAGAGGCUAUUCUUUCUCCAUUGAAUGGCCUUUGCACCUUUGUCAAAAAUUAAUACACUCUAUUUAUAUGGGUUUAUCACUGGACUCUCCAUUCUGUUUCAUUGAUCUAUGCGUCUAUCUUUGUCUAAUACUGUGCCAUCUUGAUUACUAUAGCUUCAUAGUAAGUCUUAAAAUCAGAUAGUAUGCAAUGGAACAGAAUAGAGAAUCCAGAAAUAAAGCCACGCACAGCCAUCUAAUCUUUUACAAAGUUGGCAAAAAUGAGCAAUGGGGAAAGAACUCUCUAUUCAAUAAAUGGUGCUAGGAUAGCUGGCUAGCUAUAUGCUGAAGAAUGAAAUUGGACCCCUACCUUUCACCAUAUACAGAAAUUAACUCAAGAUGCAUUAAAGACUUAAAUGAAGACCUCAAACUAUAAGAAUUCUAGAAGAAAACCUAGGAAACACCAUUCUAAAAAUCAGACUUGGGAAAUAAUUUAUGACUAAGUUCUCAAUAGGAAUUGCAACAAAAACAAAAAUUGACAAGUGGGACCUAAUUAAACUAAAUAGCUUCUGCACAGCAAAAUAAAUCAUCAACAGAGUAAGCAGACAACCUAAAGAAUGGGAGAAAAUAUUUGCAAACUAUGUAUCUGACAAAGAUCAAAUAUUCAGAAUCUAUAAGGAACUUAAACAACUGAACAAUCAGAAAACAAAUAACUCUAAUAAAAAUGGGCAAAGAGCAUGAACAGACACUUCUCAAAAGAAGACACACAAGUGGCCAACAAACAUAUGGAAAAAUUCUCCACUUCACUAAUCAUCAGAAACAUGCAAAUCAAAACCCACAAUGAGAUAUCAUCUCAUACCAGUGAGAAUGGCCAUCAUUAAAAUAAUUUUUAGAAAAUAGAUGUUGGUGAAGCUGCAGAGAAAAGGGAAUGCUUAUGGACUGUUGGUGGGAAUGUAGUUAGUUCAGGCAUUGUGAAAAGCUGUUUAGAGAUUUCUCAAAGAACUUAAAACAAAACUACCAUUCAACCUAGCAACCCCAUUACUGGGUAUCUACCCAAAAUAAAACAAAUCAUUCUACCAAAAAAGCACAUGCCCUUGCAUGUUCAUCACAGCACUAUUCACAACAGUAAAGGCAUGGAAUCAACUUAGCUGCCCAUCAACAGUGUAUUGGAUACAGAAAAUAUGGUACAUACACACCAUGGAAUACUAUGCAGCCAUAAAAAGGAAAGAAACUAUGUUCUUUUACAGCAACAUGGCUGAAGCUGUACACCAUUAUCCUAAGGAACAGAAAACCAAAUACUGCAUGUUCUCACUUAUAAGUGAGAGCUAAACAUUGGUACUCAUGGACACAAAGAUGGCAACAAUAGACACUGAGGACUACUAGAAGGGGAAGGGAGGGAAGAAGGGGGACAAGGAUUGAAAAACUAAUUUUUGGGUACUAUGUUCAGUACCUGGGUGAUGGGAUCAUUUGUACUCCAAACCUCAGCAUCAUGCAAUAUACCCAGGUAACAGAUCUGCACGUAUACUCCCUGAAUCUAAAAUAAAAGUUGAAAAAAAAAGCAGACAGUAUGAGAUUCUCCAACUUUGUUCUUUUAAAAAAGGUUUUUGGCUAUUUUGACUUUCUUUGUAAAUGUUACAAUUAAUUUGUCUAUAUCUAUAAAAAUUCAUGCUGGGAUUUUGAUUGAAAUUGCAUUAAAUAUCUGGAUCAUUUUGGGAGAGAACUGGUAUCUUAACCAUGUUGAAUUUUCCAAUACAUGAGCACAACAUGUCUCUUCCAUUAUUAGAUCUUAUUUAAUUUCUUUCAUCAUUGUUUUGUAGUUUUCAGCAUACAGAUCUUGCAUACAUCUUUGUUAGAUUUAUAUCUAUGUAGCUAGUUUUUCUGAAACUAUUGUACAUGUUAUUUUUUAAUAUUCCAGUUUUCAACUGCUCAUAUCUGGCAUGUAAACAACUCUUGACCUUGCUAAACUCAAUAGUUCUCAUUUUUGUUUUUGCGUUUUUUGAAGAUAGAAUUCUUUGGGAUUUUCUAUGUAUACAGUUCUGUUAUCUAUGAAUAAAGAGGAUUUUCUUUCUUUCUUUCCCAGUUCUGUGUCUUUUUUGGUUUUGGCCUUAUUACCUACGACAGGAUUUUCACGACAAAUUGGAGAAUUGGAGUUGUAUCCAUUUCAGCUGACACCCGGACACUUCUCCACAUUUGCGGAGUGAGUCCUAUUUGGGAGAUCUUGCACAGUCUCAACAAGAGUCCCUGAUGGUAGGUGAGAUCUUGCGGCUUCACCAGCCUAACUUCUGAGAUGAGGGACGUGAGUGGAGCUUUUCACCUGCUCCAGAUCUGCUCUGAAUGGUCUUUGUUAAGUGUAUGAAUUGAUACUAGAGACUGUUGAGAGACACUUACAUUUGGGGAACUUUUUCUGAGGCUGAGAAACUGGAAGACUCCUUGGCUCUGAAGGAGAAUUUCAGAGCUGGUUGUCCACACUCACCACAGGCCAAGGCUCCAUGGGGGAAGGACAGUGUGGAUACUGGAGGCCCAACUCCCUUGCCUAGCACCGUCUCCUGCCCUUGUGUCUCCCCAGCAUCUGAGACCUUCCUCCAUUGCAACAGCACCCCCCAACUGGUAGCAUAAGCACCUGGAUUUAUUUCCACUGUCCCAGCAGACUAGGAGCAUCCUGAGAGUAAGGGCUGUGGCUCGCUCAUCUCUCUAUGCCCAGCACAGAGUUUAGUGACUCUUCCCUGAAAGAAGGAAUGAAAGAUGAGUUCAUUUGAAUCCUGAACUGCAGGCCACUGGGUGUAAAAGGAAAGCAAAGCUCUCGCCCACCCACCCACACCUGAAAAUGUGGAUCCUUCAAACAAGUUUAGCAAACAGGCUUUGUUCUCAGGUACAGAGACAGCGUGACAUUGUGUGAGUUGCUCUUCCUUUCCCUCUGUCUCUUUAGUGUCUGAGCAAAAUGUUCUGCUUUUCAUUGUCGCUCUUCAAACAGCAUGUUAUUGUCAUGCUUCUGCCUCCUUUUAAUAAAGAGGAAUGAGGAGGGUUUUCUUGUACACGCAAAAUUAACACAAAUCAAAACUGCUGCUGUUCUUUGAUCCGUCCUGGACUCUGAUUCGUGUCAGCCUUUUCAUUUUCCCACUGAGAGUGUACAGCUCAGGAAGGAUUACACGGGGAGGAAAACCGCUUACCACUUCCCAUUUGAUUAACACAAUUUAAUGCAGCAAUAAUGCCAGGGAAGUUCAUUACCAGGGAAAAGCUCUGAUGCAGGCUGCCCACAGUGUCUGGGGACGGGGUCUUUUUAUUUAAAAUGCAAUCAAGCCCCUAUGGUGAGUGGAUCCGUGAAAUCCUUCCUAAGCUGGGGAAGGUGGAAUUGCCAUUUAAUGUAGACAGACAAAAAUCCCUCCUGUUUGUACAGCUUUUGACAAUUUAUUCACGCUGUCUACGAAUAUUUAGUGUGGCUUCUUAUGCUCAAAACCUUGGGAUGAAGAAAACUGAAAGGGACUGUACCCUCAUUGUGCUUACAGCCUAGAAGGGGAAGUGGACAUUUUUCAAAGACGAGCACAUUGCUGACAGGUCAGGAUGUCAUGAAGGGGUCGCGCUGGGAGUGUGGGAGCAGGUGGUGCAGCACCUGUCUGGGAAAUCAGGGAAAACCACCCUGAGGAGGUGACAUACAGGCCAAGCUCAGAAGCAUGAGUAAGAGUUGAUGUGGAACAAACACAAAGGGGAGAGGUAGAGCUCUUGAAGUUAAGAAACUCCUGUGUGAGUUGCGAGGCAGCAGGAGCCUGGCCCGCUAGCAACACUGUCAAGUUGUCCAUGUGCCUGGGGCAGAUGGGGCAGGGGACAGAUGGGGAUGGCACCGGAGAAGAGUUUUGACGUACCCAAGGCCCCAGGCUGCCUCCUUCUUGCUCUGUGGCAGCCUGGUGUGAACAACGUAGAGUCUCCCUCAUGGCCAAGGAAAGAUCAGGAAUGUGUGCUCUCUCAGCCUGGGCAAGAUGGCGAAACCCCAUCUCUAUAAAAAAUAAAAAAAAUUAGCCGGGUGUGGUUGGCGCACGCCUGUGUUCCCAGCUACUCAGGAGGCUGAGGUGAGAGGAUUGCUUGGGCCUGGAAGUUGGAGGCUGCAGUGAGCUGUGUUCAAACCACUGCACUCUUGCCUGGGUGACAGAGUGAGAUCCUGUUUCAAAAAAAAAACAAAGAAAGAAAGAAGGUGAGAGACAGAGAGAGGGAGAGAAAGAAAGGAAGGAAGGAAGGAAGGAAAAGAAAGAAAGAGGAAGAAAGGAAGGAAGAAAGAAAGAAAAAAAGGAAGGAAGGA
RNAcentral lists this long non-coding RNA (6226 nucleotides) under Homo sapiens (human). Its description in RNAcentral is "HSALNT0230611". The record is from RNAcentral. Lineage: Eukaryota; Metazoa; Chordata; Mammalia; Primates; Hominidae.